Molecule: long non-coding RNA, 706 nt
Filed under: Rattus norvegicus (Norway rat)
Lineage: Eukaryota; Metazoa; Chordata; Mammalia; Rodentia; Muridae
Description: long non-coding RNA NONRATT025193
Source: RNAcentral
UAAGCCAGGCCUCCCAACCUGUUACCAUUGCUGUUUUAAGGAUACUUAUCUAUCACAUUUUGAUGUAUUCGGCUUUAUUGCUAUUUCUACUCGUUAGAAUGUCAGCCUCAUUACUAUGUAUCAUCGGUACCCAGAAACGUGUGCGGCCUAACAGUAGAGACUUAAAAAGGGGUGGGGAGCUGUUGGUUGUUGAGUGACUAUCAGUUUGUUACCCACAAGUAUGUCACACUUCCUGACAGAAUGCCUGUUCACUAAUGUUGAUUUCUGAGUGCCCUAGAUGAUACAAAUCUUUCUGAUUUUGAGCUCUCUCACUUAACAAGCACAGGUAGUACCUUCUUCGUGGGCCAGGUGCUGGAUUACAACACAGAAUAAACAUGGGUCCUACCCUCAUGGAGUUUAGUCUUCCAAAGAACAGGAAAUAACAAGGCAGUAAUAAUUUUGGGUAAGUAAGCACUUUUAAAAGUUCAAGGUUCCCAAAAGGCAUUUAGAAGGUGUGGAUAGAAGGGGAACUUGCUGGCCAUGGUUCUCAGGAAUACCCAAAUGAAAGUGUUAACAGCGAUGAGAAGGCACUUCGAGAGUAAAGUUGCCUCUUAUUUAUCUGGGCACAGUAGAUUUUAGCUAAACUACUCUGUGAAAGAGAAUAGGAAGUCAUUAUAUAUUUGACCUGAAAUGAUGGGGGAAAUCAGAUUACUUAAAAUUAUAAGCA